Molecule: long non-coding RNA, 203 nt
Filed under: Erythranthe guttata (spotted monkey flower)
Lineage: Eukaryota; Viridiplantae; Streptophyta; Magnoliopsida; Lamiales; Phrymaceae
Description: long non-coding RNA (EGUT_LNC001030)
Source: RNAcentral
GCCGGUGAUUGUUAGUGGCCGGAUCUGCACGAAAUUCGCCGGAGGUGGCCGGAUCUGGGUGGAGUAGGUUGUGGGUGGCCGGAAAUCUGGCAGUGGGUGGCGGAAUUCGACGAGUUUGGGUCGUGGGUGGAAUAGAUUGUGUUGUUGGAUAUGGAGUGAUAAGAGUGAUAAAAGAGAAGAAGAAGAAAAUGGAGAAAAAAAAA